Molecule: small nucleolar RNA, 182 nt
Filed under: Trichophyton rubrum BMU01672
Lineage: Eukaryota; Fungi; Ascomycota; Eurotiomycetes; Onygenales; Arthrodermataceae
Description: HACA-box snoRNA
Source: RNAcentral
CGCUUAUGCUGACGUGUGUAUUUCAGGAUUGACAGUUGAGAUAUUGAUGUCCAUGGCCAGAUUAUUGGAUAUAGCUUCUUUUUCAUGCAGACAUCCCGACUGCUAGCUGCAUGUUUCGGUCGAGGAGAGACAAUGGCCAAUCAUCUACCAUUACACCACGAGGCAUUUCCUUCGCCCUUUAU